AUGAAGAGUGACUGUGUUGCUGUGGGCACAGAUACUCAAUACUUUGGGGCUGGCUCCCGACUCAUCGUUCUAGGAAGGGAUGGGUUGGACUGGGAACAAAACCGAUACAGACUUGGGGAACGGGCCGCCGAGGUUUGGUUGCAACGUUCUAUCUCUGUGUCCUAUGAGCAGCAGUUCGGCCCAGGUACCCGGUUAGUGGUCACAGAUGACCUGACCAAGGUGACUCCCCCAAAAGUGACUGUGUUUCAGCCAUCUGAGGAAGAGAUUGAGAAAAAGGGAAAGGCCACUCUGGUCUGUCUGGCCACAGGCUUCUACCCUGACCUGGUAGAGCUGAGCUGGUGGGUGAAUGGGCAGGAGACCCAGGUUGGAGUCAGCACAGACCCUCAGCCUUCCAAGGAGCAGCCUUAUAAGAACGACUCAAGCUAUUCACUGAGCAGCCGGCUCCGGGUUUCUGCUCCCUUCUGGCGCAAUCCCAAGAACAGCUUCCGUUGCCAAGUACUGUUCCAUGGGAUCUCAGAGGAUGAGGACUGGAAGGGUAAUGGGAGCAAACCUAUCACCCAGAAUGUCAGUGACCAGACCUGGGGAAAAGCAGAUUGUGGGGUCACCUCUGAGUCCUAUCAACGUAGUGUCCAGUCUGCUACCUUCUUCUAUGAGAUUCUGCUGGGGAAAGCCAUGCUGUAUGGUCUGCUGGUCAGUGCUCUGGUGUGGAGAACUAUGGCCAAGAAAAAGUAUUCUUGAGACCAGCUGUGGACUUGACAGCAGGGAACCAAAAGCAAGUCAUAUGACCCUGACUUGGCUUUUUCAUCUAUUUCCAGCCUGUGUUCCAGAAGAGGUGCUUUUCUUUCCCUCCUCAUCUUCAUCCCUUAUAGAUUUCCUCAAAGAGAACUAUAUAAGCCAGAGAGAACAAAAGUGGUGGAUUAAUCAUAAAACAAUAAAAAUGUCCUGGUGUGGUCUCACUCU
Sarcophilus harrisii (Tasmanian devil) is the source of this 960-nucleotide non-coding RNA. Lineage: Eukaryota; Metazoa; Chordata; Mammalia; Dasyuromorphia; Dasyuridae. The record is from the annotation of a RefSeq genome assembly.